RNAcentral lists this ribosomal RNA (433 nucleotides) under uncultured bacterium. RNAcentral's name for it is "partial 16S ribosomal RNA". It matches the Rfam family "Bacterial small subunit ribosomal RNA", at positions 29 to 507 of the family's 1533-position model. The record is from RNAcentral.
AACGAACGCUGGCGGCAUGCCUAACACAUGCAAGUCGAACGAGACCUUCGGGUCUAGUGGCGCACGGGUGCGUAACGCGUGGGAACCUGCCCUUAGGUUCGGAAUAACUCCCCGACAGGGGUGCUAAUACCGGAUAAUGUCUUCGGACCAAAGAUUUAUCGCCUUUGGAUGGGCCCGCGUUGGAUUAGCUAGUUGGUAGGGUAAAAGCCUACCAAGGCGACGAUCCAUAGCUGGUCUGAGAGGAUGAUCAGCCACACUGGGACUGAGACACGGCCCAGACUCCUACGGGAGGCAGCAGUGGGGAAUAUUGGACAAUGGGCGAAAGCCUGAUCCAGCAAGGCCGCGUGAGUGAUGAAGGCCUUAGGGUUGUAAAGCUCUUUUACCCGGGAUGAUAAUGACAGUACCGGGAGAAUAAGCGCCGGCUAACUCCGUG